Molecule: ribosomal RNA, 568 nt
Filed under: Salmonella enterica subsp. enterica serovar Braenderup
Lineage: Bacteria; Pseudomonadati; Pseudomonadota; Gammaproteobacteria; Enterobacterales; Enterobacteriaceae
Description: partial 23S ribosomal RNA
Rfam family: Bacterial large subunit ribosomal RNA
Source: RNAcentral
GGGUUGUGAGGUUAAGCGACUAAGCGUACACGGUGGAUGCCCUGGCAGUCAGAGGCGAUGAAGGGCGUGCUAAUCUGCGAUAAGCGCCGGUAAGGUGAUAUGAACCGUUAUAACCGGCGAUACCCGAAUGGGGAAACCCAGUGUGAUUCGUCACACUAUCAUUAACUGAAUCCAUAGGUUAAUGAGGCGAACCGGGGGAACUGAAACAUCUAAGUACCCCGAGGAAAAGAAAUCAACCGAGAUUCCCCCAGUAGCGGCGAGCGAACGGGGAGGAGCCCAGAGCCUGAAUCAGCAUGUGUGUUAGUGGAAGCGUCUGGAAAGGCGCGCGAUACAGGGUGACAGCCCCGUACACAAAAGCGCAUGUGCUGUGAGCUCGAUGAGUAGGGCGGGACACGUGGUAUCCUGUCUGAAUAUGGGGGGACCAUCCUCCAAGGCUAAAUACUCCUGACUGACCGAUAGUGAACCAGUACCGUGAGGGAAAGGCGAAAAGAACCCCGGCGAGGGGAGUGAAAAAGAACCUGAAACCGUGUACGUACAAGCAGUGGGAGCACCCUUUUGGGUGUGACUG